RNAcentral lists this ribosomal RNA (390 nucleotides) under Corynebacterium xerosis. RNAcentral's name for it is "bacterial SSU rRNA". It matches the Rfam family "Bacterial small subunit ribosomal RNA", at positions 535 to 922 of the family's 1533-position model. The record is from RNAcentral. Lineage: Bacteria; Bacillati; Actinomycetota; Actinomycetes; Mycobacteriales; Corynebacteriaceae.
GAGCNGUUGUCCGGAAUUACUGGGCGUAAAGAGCUCGUAGGUGGUUUGUCGCGUCGUCUGUGAAAUUCCGGGGCUUAACUCCGGGCGUGCAGGCGAUACGGGCAUAACUUGAGUACUGUAGGGGAGACUGGAAUUCCUGGUGUAGCGGUGAAAUGCGCAGAUAUCAGGAGGAACACCGGUGGCGAAGGCGGGUCUCUGGGCAGUAACUGACGCUGAGGAGCGAAAGCAUGGGUAGCGAACAGGAUUAGAUACCCUGGUAGUCCAUGCCGUAAACGGUGGGCGCUAGGUGUAGGGGUCUUCCACGACUUCUGUGCCGUAGCUAACGCAUUAAGCGCCCCGCCUGGGGAGUACGGCCGCAAGGCUAAAACUCAAAGGAAUUGACGGGGGCCC